AAUGAACGCUGGUGGCAGACCUAACACAUGCAAGUCGAACGGUCUAUAUUAAACUUCGGUUUUUUAUAGAUAGUGGCAAACGGGUGAGUAAUGCGUGGGAAUCUGCCCUAUAGUACGGAAUAGCCGUUGGAAACGACGAUUAAUACCGUAUAUCUUCCGAGGAAGAAAGACUUGUCGCUAUAGGAUGAGCCCACGUUAGAUUAGUUUGUUGGUAGGGUAACGGCCUACCAAGACUGCGAUCUAUAGCUGGUUUGAGAGGAUGAUCAGCCACACUGGAACUGAGAUACGGUCCAGACUCCUACGGGAGGCAGCAGUGGGGGAAUAUUGGACAAUGGGCGCAAGCCUGAUCCAGUCAUGCCACGUGAGUGAUGAAGGUCUUAGGAUUGUAAAACUCUUUUAGCAGGGAAAAAAUGAUGGUACCUGCAGAAAAAGUCUCGGCUAACUUCGUGCCAGCAGCCGCGGUAAU
This 466-nucleotide ribosomal RNA is filed under the name uncultured bacterium. RNAcentral describes it as "bacterial SSU rRNA". It matches the Rfam family "Bacterial small subunit ribosomal RNA", at positions 29 to 524 of the family's 1533-position model. The record is from RNAcentral.